Molecule: non-coding RNA, 52 nt
Organism: Myotis davidii
Lineage: Eukaryota; Metazoa; Chordata; Mammalia; Chiroptera; Vespertilionidae
Source: Rfam
UUUUUAGUAUAAGUAUGUUCCAUGCAGUACUUGGGAGAUACAUAUACUAAAC